This 521-nucleotide unclassified non-coding RNA is filed under the name uncultured Glomeromycotina. RNAcentral describes it as "SSU rRNA". It matches the Rfam family "Eukaryotic small subunit ribosomal RNA", at positions 569 to 1092 of the family's 1831-position model. The record is from RNAcentral. Lineage: Eukaryota; Fungi; Glomeromycota.
AGCAGCCGCGGUAAUUCCAGCUCCAAUAGCGUAUAUUAAAGUUGCUGCAGUUAAAAAGCUCGUAGUUGAAUUUCGGGACCAUCAUGUCGGUCGUGCCUAGGUACGUACUGGCAUUGUUGGUUUCUCCCUUCUGACGAACCAUGAUGUCAUUUAUUUGGUGUUGUGGGGAAUCAGGACUGUUACUUUGAAAAAAUUAGAGUGUUUAAAGCAGGCUCACGCUUGAAUACAUUAGCAUGGAAUAAUGAAAUAGGACGUUUGAUUCUAUUUUGUUGGUUUCUAGGAUCGACGUAAUGAUUAAUAGGGAUAGUUGGGGGCAUUAGUAUUCAAUUGUCAGAGGUGAAAUUCUUGGAUUUAUUGAAGACUAACUACUGCGAAAGCAUUUGCCAAGGAUGUUUUCAUUAAUCAAGAACGAAAGUUAGGGGAUCGAAGACGAUCAGAUACCGUCGUAGUCUUAACCAUAAACUAUGCCGACUAGGGAUCGGAUGAUGUUAAUUUUUUAAUGACUCAUUCGGCGCCUUACG